GAUCAUGCUCAGGAUGAACGCUAGCUACAGGCUUAACACAUGCAAGUCGAGGGGCAGCGGGAAGUCAGCUUGCUGACUUUGCCGGCGACCGGCGCACGGGUGAGUAACACGUAUCCAACCUCCCGCAUACUCGGGAAUAGCCUUGCGAAAGUAAGAUUAAUGCCCGAUGGUUUCAAGGGAUUGCAUGGUAUCUUGAAUAAAGAUUCAUCGGUAUGCGAUGGGGAUGCG
This 228-nucleotide ribosomal RNA is filed under the name uncultured bacterium. RNAcentral describes it as "partial 16S ribosomal RNA". It matches the Rfam family "Bacterial small subunit ribosomal RNA", at positions 15 to 235 of the family's 1533-position model. The record is from RNAcentral.